This 253-nucleotide ribosomal RNA is filed under the name uncultured bacterium. RNAcentral describes it as "partial 16S ribosomal RNA". It matches the Rfam family "Bacterial small subunit ribosomal RNA", at positions 524 to 776 of the family's 1533-position model. The record is from RNAcentral.
UACGUAGGGUGCAAGCGUUAAUCGGAAUUACUGGGCGUAAAGCGUGCGCAGGCGGUUUUGUAAGUCUGUCGUGAAAGCCCCGGGCUCAACCUGGGAAUUGCGAUGAAGACUGCAAGGCUUGAAUCUGGCAGAGGGGGGUAGAAUUCCACGUGUAGCAGUGAAAUGCGUAGAGAUGUGGAGGAACACCGAUGGCGAAGGCAGACCCCUGGGUCAAGAUUGACGCUCAUGCACGAAAGCGUGGGGAGCAAACAGG